Non-coding RNA from Pelobates cultripes (western spadefoot toad), 480 nucleotides. The record is from the annotation of a GenBank genome assembly. Lineage: Eukaryota; Metazoa; Chordata; Amphibia; Anura; Pelobatidae.
CGAAAAGGGAGGUAUUGUAAGCAUCACGCACUCGGGAGAUUGUCAGUAUAGUCUGAGGGGUUUUAGGUGAUACAGAGACUUAUAGGGUCUUGAAAUCUGAUGAAACUAAUUCGUUCCUCUUAUGUUUUAAGGAAAUCUUGGAGAAAGACCGCAGUGAAGGGCUGCUACCGGGGGAUGAGUAUGAGUUCACUCUAAAUUGUCACCCCAGGAUAGCAACAUUUACUGCUUGUCAAAAAGCCAUAAAAACCUGACUAAUCCUCCUUGCUGUCCUAUCGUGUCUUCAAUUGAUAAUUUAACACGCAAUGGAAGUAUAUAUGUUGAUAAAAUCUUGAGGUCCUUUGUGGAGUCUCUAUCAUCCUACAUUCAGGACAUGAAACAGGCGCUGACUUUCCUCUCUGACCUAAAGGUACUAAAAUCAGCGAGUCUACAUAAUAUGGAUGUUAAGUCUCUAUAUUCCUCCAUCCCUCAUGAUAGAGGAAU